RNAcentral lists this ribosomal RNA (469 nucleotides) under uncultured bacterium. RNAcentral describes it as "partial 16S ribosomal RNA". It matches the Rfam family "Bacterial small subunit ribosomal RNA", at positions 28 to 507 of the family's 1533-position model. The record is from RNAcentral.
GACGAACCCUGGCGGCGUGCUUAACACAUGCAAGUCGAACGGAAAGGCCCUGCUUGCAGGGUGCUCGAGUGGCGAACGGGUGAGUAACACGUGGGUGAUCUGCCCCUUACUUUGGGAUAAGCCUGGGAAACUGGGUCUAAUACUGGAUAGGGCCAUGCUGUAGGUGGUGUGGUGGAAAGAUUAGUUUCGGUAAGGGAUGAGCUCGCGGCCUAUCAGCUUGUUGGUGGGGUAAUGGCCUACCAAGGCGUCGACGGGUAGCCGGCCUGAGAGGGUGGACGGCCACAUUGGGACUGAGAUACGGCCCAGACUCCUACGGGAGGCAGCAGUGGGGAAUAUUGCACAAUGGGCGCAAGCCUGAUGCAGCGACGCCGCGUGGGGGAUGACGGCCUUCGGGUUGUAAACUCCUUUCAGCCAUGACGAAGCCCUUGUGGUGACGGUAGUGGUAGAAGAAGCACCGGCUAACUACGUG